GCCCCACAUGGCACUACCUCCUCGUGGUGUGGGGCGGGCAACUACCCCACAAGGGGUAGGCUAAACGUGCCA
RNAcentral lists this non-coding RNA (72 nucleotides) under unclassified sequences. The record is from RNAcentral.